AGGCAGGAAGGCUCGGCAUGGUCCGCACCAUUUAGCUGAGAAGUAGAGGAGGACAGUCUUCCCAACAAGUUCUGAUACAGGAACCUUCGCAUUGAAAUAGCAGAUCACAAAGUCCAAAUCACCAAUGACCAGAAGGGACUCCAAGGUCUGUAACUCUGCUUUAGCCUUUGCCUUCUCAGCAAGAAUUUCCAUCUUCUCUGCAGUGAAAGGAAACCCUUCCCAUGCAUCUUGACCAUGCUCAUCAAUUAUGUCAGCAACAUUGUUGUUCAGUGUCUUCCCAUCAGGACCAAUCAGGACAAGUGUAGGCAGGCCUCUAAGCUCAAAAUAACGAGCCAGCUUCUCACCCAUCUUGUCUUCCUGAGGGAUGGCAAGCCAAGGCAUGCCUGCAAAACUCUCAUUGGAUAAUUCCUCAUCACUGUCCAAGGAUACAGCUACAACUUCAAAUUUCUCCCCUACUUCUUUGAGUUUCUCAUAAAAUUUAGCAAGCAAUGAGGUAAAUUGGACUACUGGGCCAUAGCCAUUCACCACAAAGCACAAACCAACGUACUUGCCCUCAAGGUCAGAGAUGGGUACCUAGUCUCCCUUGUUCGAAAGUAAGUAGUCGCGGGUGGGUGUACCAAGCACACUUUGAACAGUUUGAUUAUCCUUAGCUGCCUUUUCCUGUUCCUUCAAUUCAUUGAUCCUCUCUGUUGUAAAAGGGUAAGCUUCUGUACCAUGCACAGUCACAAGCUCAACUCCAUCUUCCGUAUAAACUUCACCAGAUGUUGCAUUAAGGAUGACGAGGUGUGGAAUGCCUCUCACC
RNAcentral lists this small RNA (802 nucleotides) under Oryza sativa Japonica Group (Japanese rice). RNAcentral's name for it is "sRNA Os03g0405525". The record is from RNAcentral. Lineage: Eukaryota; Viridiplantae; Streptophyta; Magnoliopsida; Poales; Poaceae.